This 516-nucleotide ribosomal RNA is filed under the name uncultured bacterium. RNAcentral's name for it is "partial 16S ribosomal RNA". It matches the Rfam family "Bacterial small subunit ribosomal RNA", at positions 28 to 523 of the family's 1533-position model. The record is from RNAcentral.
GACGAACGCUGGCGGCGUGCCUAACACAUGCAAGUCGAACGGAGUGUUUAUUUAUAAACACUUAGUGGCGAACGGGUGAGUAACGCGUAGACAACCUACCCUCUAGAUGGGGACAACACCGCGAAAGUGGUGCUAAUACCGAAUGUUGUAAUGUUGUUGCAUAAUGAUAUUACUAAAGGUGGCCUCUAUAUAAAAGCUACCGCUAGAAGAUGGGUCUGCGUCUGAUUAGCUAGUUGGUGAGAUAACAGCUCACCAAGGCAAUGAUCAGUAGCCGGUCUGAGAGGAUGAACGGCGACACUGGGACUGAGACACGGCCCAGACUCCUACGGGAGGCAGCAGUGGGGAAUCUUCCGCAAUGGACGAAAGUCUGACGGAGCAACGCCGCGUGAGUGAAGAAGGUUUUCGGAUCGUAAAGCUCUGUCUUCAAGGACGAAUGUAGAUAUUGUGAAUAAUGAUAUUUAAUGACGGUACUUGAGGAGGAAGCCACGGCUAACUACGUGCCAGCAGCCGCAGUAA